UGCUCCAUGAAAUUAAAUAGCCGCAGAUCAACUGUGCUAAGGUAGCAUAAUCAUUWGCCCCUUAAUUAUGGGAUAGUAUGAACGGCAUCACGAGCUACCCCCUGACUCAGCUAAGAAUAAUAAACCUAACAUAAAAGUAAAAAGGCUUUUAUACCUAAACAAGACGACAAGACCCCGUCAAACUUACACCACUCGUUAGACUGGGGCGGUCAAGAAACAAAACCUUACUCCCCCUCACAGCCCCACCUGAAAUAUUCGACCAAGAAUCAAGUUACUGCGGGGAUAACAGCGCAAUACUUUUCUAGAGCCCAGAUCUAAAAAAGACCUUACGACCUCGAUGUUGAAUAAGAUUCUUCCUAGCGCAAAAGCUAUGAAAGAGAGUCUGUUCGACUCAUAACCACUUACA
Molecule: ribosomal RNA, 406 nt
Filed under: Plectreurys tristis
Lineage: Eukaryota; Metazoa; Arthropoda; Arachnida; Araneae; Plectreuridae
Description: partial 16S ribosomal RNA
Rfam family: Bacterial large subunit ribosomal RNA
Source: RNAcentral